Molecule: ribosomal RNA, 484 nt
Filed under: uncultured bacterium
Lineage: Bacteria
Description: partial 16S ribosomal RNA
Rfam family: Bacterial small subunit ribosomal RNA
Source: RNAcentral
AUUGAACGCUGGCGGCAUGCUUUACACAUGCAAGUCGAGCGGCAGCGCGGGCUUCGGCCUGGCGGCGAGUGGCGAACGGGUGAGUAAUGCAUCGGAACGUGCCCAGUAGUGGGGGAUAGCCCGGCGAAAGCCGGAUUAAUACCGCAUACGACCUGAGGGUGAAAGCGGGGGACCGAAAGGCCUCGCGCUAUUGGAGCGGCCGAUGUCGGAUUAGCUAGUUGGUGGGGUAAAGGCUUACCAAGGCGACGAUCCGUAGCUGGUCUGAGAGGACGACCAGCCACACUGGGACUGAGACACGGCCCAGACUCCUACGGGAGGCAGCAGUGGGGAAUUUUGGACAAUGGGGGCAACCCUGAUCCAGCCAUGCCGCGGGCGGGAAGAAGGCCUUCGGGUUGUAAACCGCUUUUGUUCGGGAAGAAAUCCUCUGGGCUAAUACCCCGGGGGGAUGACGGUACCGGAAGAAUAAGCACCGGCUAACUACGUG